This 567-nucleotide long non-coding RNA is filed under the name Salmo salar (Atlantic salmon). Its description in RNAcentral is "lncRNA (ENSSSAG00000112606.1)". The record is from RNAcentral. Lineage: Eukaryota; Metazoa; Chordata; Actinopteri; Salmoniformes; Salmonidae.
CAUCCAGCUGCAGGUACAGUAACCCUUCACCACCCUCCACAUCCAGCUGCAGGUACAGUAACCCUUCACCACCCUCCUCAUCCAGCUGCAGGUACAGUAACCCUUCACCACCCUCCUCAUCCAGCUGCAGGUACAGUAACCCUUCACCACCCUCCUCAUCCAGCUGCAGGUACAGUAACCCUUCAUCACCCUCCACAUCCAGCUGCAGGUACAGUAACCCUUCACCACCCUCCACAUCCAGCUGCAGGUACAGUAACCCUUCACCACCCUCCACAUCCAGCUGCAGGUACAGUAACCCUUCACCACCCUCCUCAUCCAGCUGCAGGUACAGUAACCCUUCACCACCCUCCUCAUCCAGCUGCAGAGCGGCAGGUACAGCAGGGGUGUGUGUGUGGGUGUAUAUUGGGUUGUUUGAAGACACACGUGUGUAUCAGGGGUGUAUGGAGCUGUGGAAGGGAGUGUGGUGGUGUUUGAAGUUGUAUGGGGUGUAACGUGUUAACCUAACAUUUCAAAGUGUGUGUGUGCCUGUUACAUUUGAACAGUGUGGUUCCUGGCCGUGUGUUGCAG